This 499-nucleotide long non-coding RNA is filed under the name Elaeis guineensis (African oil palm). Its description in RNAcentral is "long non-coding RNA (EGUI_LNC021593)". Lineage: Eukaryota; Viridiplantae; Streptophyta; Magnoliopsida; Arecales; Arecaceae. The record is from RNAcentral.
GUGAGCUAUGAGGAGGUCAGUUUGCUGAUCUUUCUUUAGCUGGCUAUAGAUUUCAAGGACAGGAUGAAGUUCAGUGUUCUGUUGCAUCCCUCUCAUCGUAGCCGAAAGUGCCUGCAUCUGCUGGACAAGGCUGUUGUAUUGGUCUUAGGAGACCACUGGUGCUGCUGGUGAGGGAUUUUUCGAGAUCGAUGGAGGUGGUGCAUUCGUCGAUGGGGCAUUAUCGGCCUGUCUACCGUUAGAACAUUAUGAUGCAUUCGAUGCACCUCUUCGUAUCUUCAUGGUGGCUGGUGGUGAGCUUUCUCCUCUCAAAAUAGGACCUCGAAACUAGUCGAGGCCCUUCCUCUGGCACCAAGUAUUGCUCCUGAUUUUUCUGCCUAAGGUCUGCUGUCGAGGUGGAGAUGACCGAGGAAGAGAAUAUUACUAGAGCUUUGCCCAAGUACCUGUAAGAAGUCUUCACUAGGAUGUUCUCCGGUGAAGAUCCUCCAAUACUCAAGUUAGG